This 396-nucleotide long non-coding RNA is filed under the name Vigna radiata. RNAcentral describes it as "long non-coding RNA (VRAD_LNC015438)". Lineage: Eukaryota; Viridiplantae; Streptophyta; Magnoliopsida; Fabales; Fabaceae. The record is from RNAcentral.
GGGCAGCAAGAUAUGAACUGCUUGGAAAGAGCAUUAGUGGGGGAAAGGAAAAAAAAUGAUCAUUCAGGUAAGGAAAGCAGAAGAAAAUAUGAAAAAAAUGACAGGAAUAUACACAUCAAACAGAUGUGCCCUACGCGUCAAUAAAACACUAACGUCGUUGAACCCAAUUUAACAUAAAGGGUCCAAUUGUUGCAAUUUUCAGAAAAUUGGGACCCAAUUGAGAAACCUAAAAAGAACGGGACGAAAUUGAGAUUCUCCUCCAAAACACAGAGACUUCCAGAAUGAUUAAACCUUAAAUUAAAGAGCCAGUAACUAAGGCUUAACUUGCGCUUUUAAAAUUUCUUUCUCAAUCGUGGAAAAAAUUGUAAGUUACAAACAACUUUGGUAUAACAUUUU